This 353-nucleotide long non-coding RNA is filed under the name Olea europaea (common olive). RNAcentral describes it as "long non-coding RNA (OEUR_LNC001413)". The record is from RNAcentral. Lineage: Eukaryota; Viridiplantae; Streptophyta; Magnoliopsida; Lamiales; Oleaceae.
UUUUAAAUGGGUGAGCAAUUAAUAACCCUUUAUUUUUGGGCAAAAAGGUAGUAACCAUGAGCAGAUGUUGAUGAUUAGUAAUUUAAUUUACUCAUUCAAAUUUAACGUUGUUGGGCGUGGAAAGAAACUUCUUUUCAGGAGGGAGCAGGAAAGCCGAGUGUCUCACAUACCCCUUGUGGAUUACUCACAGUUAAUGACCAUUCCAGCAAACGUUUGUCUUUUCUAAUUUCUCGAUUUCGACAACAUGAUAAAGUGUUCAUAUCAGUCUUGCAUCUCUACCUCUUUAGAUGGAAGACAAAAUGGAGGUGUAUAUGAGAAAAGCAAGACUCCACAAGUCAAGAAAGUUAUUCCAG